This 1372-nucleotide ribosomal RNA is filed under the name uncultured bacterium. RNAcentral's name for it is "bacterial SSU rRNA". It matches the Rfam family "Bacterial small subunit ribosomal RNA", at positions 28 to 1381 of the family's 1533-position model. The record is from RNAcentral.
GAUGAACGCUGGCGGCGUGCCUAAUACAUGCAAGUCGAGCGAACGGACGAGAAGCUUGCUUCUCUGAUGUUAGCGGCGGACGGGUGAGUAACACGUGGAUAACCUACCUAUAAGACUGGGAUAACUUCGGGAAACCGGAGCUAAUACCGGAUAAUAUUUUGAACCGCAUGGUUCAAAAGUGAAAGACGGUCUUGCUGUCACUUAUAGAUGGAUCCGCGCUGCAUUAGCUAGUUGGUAAGGUAACGGCUUACCAAGGCAACGAUGCAUAGCCGACCUGAGAGGGUGAUCGGCCACACUGGAACUGAGACACGGUCCAGACUCCUACGGGAGGCAGCAGUAGGGAAUCUUCCGCAAUGGGCGAAAGCCUGACGGAGCAACGCCGCGUGAGUGAUGAAGGUCUUCGGAUCGUAAAACUCUGUUAUUAGGGAAGAACAUAUGUGUAAGUAACUGUGCACAUCUUGACGGUACCUAAUCAGAAAGCCACGGCUAACUACGUGCCAGCAGCCGCGGUAAUACGUAGGUGGCAAGCGUUAUCCGGAAUUAUUGGGCGUAAAGCGCGCGUAGGCGGUUUUUUAAGUCUGAUGUGAAAGCCCACGGCUCAACCGUGGAGGGUCAUUGGAAACUGGAAAACUUGAGUGCAGAAGAGGAAAGUGGAAUUCCAUGUGUAGCGGUGAAAUGCGCAGAGAUAUGGAGGAACACCAGUGGCGAAGGCGACUUUCUGGUCUGUAACUGACGCUGAUGUGCGAAAGCGUGGGGAUCAAACAGGAUUAGAUACCCUGGUAGUCCACGCCGUAAACGAUGAGUGCUAAGUGUUAGGGGGUUUCCGCCCCUUAGUGCUGCAGCUAACGCAUUAAGCACUCCGCCUGGGGAGUACGACCGCAAGGUUGAAACUCAAAGGAAUUGACGGGGACCCGCACAAGCGGUGGAGCAUGUGGUUUAAUUCGAAGCAACGCGAAGAACCUUACCAAAUCUUGACAUCCUUUGACAACUCUAGAGAUAGAGCUUUCCCCUUCGGGGGACAAAGUGACAGGUGGUGCAUGGUUGUCGUCAGCUCGUGUCGUGAGAUGUUGGGUUAAGUCCCGCAACGAGCGCAACCCUUAAGCUUAGUUGCCAUCAUUAAGUUGGGCACUCUAAGUUGACUGCCGGUGACAGACCGGAGGAAGGUGGGGAUGACGUCAAAUCAUCAUGCCCCUUAUGAUUUGGGCUACACACGUGCUACAAUGGACAAUACAAAGGGCAGCGAAACCGUGAGGUCAAGCAAAUCCCAUAAAGUUGUUCUCAGUUCGGAUUGUAGUCUGCAACUCGACUACAUGAAGCUGGAAUCGCUAGUAAUCGUAGAUCAGCAUGCUACGGUGAAUACGUUCCCGGGUCU